This 167-nucleotide ribosomal RNA is filed under the name uncultured bacterium. RNAcentral's name for it is "partial 16S ribosomal RNA". It matches the Rfam family "Bacterial small subunit ribosomal RNA", at positions 1335 to 1500 of the family's 1533-position model. The record is from RNAcentral.
CUAGUAAUGGCAGGUCAGCAUACUGCCGUGAAUACGUUCCCGGGCCUUGUACACACCGCCCGUCACACCAUGAGAGUUAGGAAUACCCGAAGCCUGUGAGCCAACUUUAUAAGAGGCAGCAGUCGAAGGUAGAACUAAUGAUUGGGGUGAAGUCGUAACAAGGUACC